Molecule: long non-coding RNA, 885 nt
Filed under: Medicago truncatula (barrel medic)
Lineage: Eukaryota; Viridiplantae; Streptophyta; Magnoliopsida; Fabales; Fabaceae
Description: lncRNA gene40414
Source: RNAcentral
CCAACUUCAAAUGCAUAUAUUCCAUUUCCGCCAUAAAAUUCAAGAAGCAAAGUAACAAAAUGUAAACAUCCACACAAAAGAGUAAGAGAGUGAUUAAAUUGUGUCUCAAAUUUAAUUUAAAAAUCCACCACAAACAAUUGCAGUGACAUUGUAUACAUAACAAAUUGUUAACUAAAUUAAAAUAAAAAUGACAGAAACAAGUGUUGUUAACUCUGUGACACAGACAUCUGACCAUGUCUUUCCAUAACUCUUCUAGUAGCAAGUGCUGCAGCUUCACUAGCACGCAUUGUCCCAGUUGCCAUUAUUGCAGCAAACUCUUUGAUUAUCUCAUCUUGAACCUUGCUCCUUGCAUCACCUAAAGGAUCCUUUACAACACCAUUUGAUGCUGCUGCUGCUUUUUCAGAAGCUGACACUGCAUUUUCUGUCUUCUUAUCUUCUUCUUUGCCUUUUGCUACUUCCUUACUGGGAAUAGCCUUUUUCUCUGUGGAUGAGUUAGGUGCAGUUGAACUCUUUUGGGUGGUGACUGAGGCAAAAUUUGAAGCAGGACUCACUGUGGUAGGCCUGAAUUGUGGUACUUGUGGAACUCCGCCGGAUUUUAAUGUUGUCUCUAAAUUCUGAAUCAUUGGCACUAAAAGAGAACCCAUUGGGCUGCUCAUAACUUCAUUAGGGAGCUGAAGAAUAUAAUCAGGAAUCGUAGCACCAACCAAAAAUUGAGCAACUUCGUUGCUGAAGUUGUUGCAGUUGUGAGUAAGCAAACUAUAGGUUUCAGGCAAGUACCGCGGAUUGAUUUCCUGCAAAUACAUUUCAAACACGUCCUUUGGAACAUGAGUAACUCCUAACUCUACCACUUUGAGUGGAGUUCCGUAUGGUGUUGAUCCAGCAGGC